RNAcentral lists this long non-coding RNA (1583 nucleotides) under Homo sapiens (human). RNAcentral's name for it is "HSALNT0326256". The record is from RNAcentral. Lineage: Eukaryota; Metazoa; Chordata; Mammalia; Primates; Hominidae.
CUCAGGACUCUCCAGAAUGUUUUCACCAGCAAAAAGGCCCUCAGCAGAUGCAGCCUCUCGACCUUGAACUUUCUAGCCUCCAAAAUGGACUAUCGGUACUGAAACCCAGCAAGCUGAAAUCAGCAAAACAAGAUGGUCUUGCUAACUUGAGGAAGCUGUAGCAGCUGGAAGCUCCAGAGAGGAGGGGGCUCAGAGUCUGCACAUCAAUGGGGAGACAUCAUUCUGGCUGCAUUAUGAAUGGAUGGUUUGGAGGAAGAAUGUGGAUAGCUAAACAAGAAGGAGAAUAGAAAGAAACUACUCUUAAGACUAUUGCAAUAUCCAGUGUUAUCUCAGGACCAAGGAAUUAAUGGUGCAAUGUGCUUUGUUUCUGACUGCAGACUAUAAUGUUUAUUCCUAUUGGGGGCAGAGCAAGAUUUCAGUUUCUUUUCUCAGCAACAAGAAAAUACUCUGUCUGAAAUCAAGCAACUUCUGGGAAGACCAAGAGUGAUGGAAACUAGAGUUACAAAGCAAAAACCCUACAUCCUGAAUGCCCAGCCCGGUCAAUGAAAUUUUUCUGUCUCAUUUAUCAGCUAACUUGGUCCUCUUCCCCUGGGAACAAAACUGAGAAGGGUUAAGAGAUAAUGUGGAAACAAACUCCCCAGCACUUGCCUAAGAGGGCAGCUGUGUACCCAGACCUUCUUUCCUCUAUGUCAUUGUACUAGAAAGAGAGAGUUCCAUACUCUUUAAUCUGAAUAGUUGGCACUCACUUAAAAAAGAAUGCAGCCUGAUUCCUCUCUGCCCCUCUAGCUAUUUCCAGAAAGUUGUUCAUGGGAUGAAUUGAAAGCCAACAAAGGGAGUUGUUAGUACAUAUUUCCAGGAAUGAAGUUGUCUGGAUGCAGCUAAUGCCUCCAUAGAACUGACAGUGCUGAAUUUACGAAAUGGAAAGAGUUCUGGAAAAGCAAGAAAAAAAGUCUUGUUUGAAACCCCACGUCUACUGUAGGCACAGAAGGGAAUGGAGGCAUCUGAGCAUUUUAUUUUCCAUCUCUACAGCACCUCAGAACACCUACAUUUUAUUUUUUUUCUUCUCAGAAAUGUCUUAAUAAGAGGACUGCAGUGUACUCAAGUUUCCCAAUGACAGGGUAGGGAUGCCAACCUUCUCUUUCAUUGGCAGCUCAUAGUAUCCAAGUUUCUCAAAACCCUAAGCCAUCUUAUUUGUUCUUUGGAACUUUGUGGCCUACCACAGUGCAAUUCUCAUUCGGUGUUUAAUAAAAUAUUUGUUAGCUCUUUUCUAAUUGAGAAGGUUCUGUUCUUUUCGCCUCAAGAAAUCACUUAGAAUACAAAUAGCAGUGCACAAUAAUUAGAUUUCAUUGAAUGUAAUUGAUUUGAAUGUUCAUGAAACAGUGCCUCCAGUAUGUUUUGUUUCACUUAAACUUUGAUGACACUUGAGAAGUUGCCUUGCCUUACCUAUCUGCCACCCCACCACUCCUCAGCAUCCGAUAGGCUGCUGUUCCUGUGCCAUCACUGUUGUUUGUCUGAAAGCCUUUUAAUUCGCUGUGGGUGAAGUUGAAUAGGAGUGCUCAGAUCUUCUAGCUCUACCACCUCAC